GAACGGAGAGAUUCAUCGUCAUUCGGCGGCGUACGGGCGCGCGCCACGAUGCGCGUCGUUCGUUAACGCGAUUCRGCGCGCACGGGACGCGUCCGUCGACGUCCGCCGACGGCGUGCACUUCUCUCUCAGUAAUGCAUCGCGACCCGUUCGAGGUCGGCCUAAGCGCCGCGAUGGAGCACGGCGUCCGGCGUCUCGGCGUCAGACAYCGUACCUCGUCGGUUGCCGGCCGGCCGUCACGCGGACGGUAAUAUGGAUGGAUACGCUUCAAUAGCGAAUCGCGCACGCGUCAACAUAUAUACGCGUCCGGCCCGACGCAAGCUUACGUCCGCAGUCUAUGUCCUGCCCGAGCGCGGACGUCGACUCGGCGUUGCUGCCUCGUAGCCGCCGUGCAGUCUCGGACUGUGCGCGUCUCUGUCUGCGAUGAUUCUGUUUCGGGCACUCGCAGGACCCGUCUUGAAACACGGACCAAGGAGUCUAGCAUGUGUGCGAGUCAUUCGGUUCGUAUUCAAUUUGAUAAAACCGAAAGGCGCAACGAAAGUGAAGGCGCGCGCUCGCCGCGCGCUCAGGGAGGAUGGUGAUUCGGCUCGGAUCGAUCUCUCGCACUCCCGAGGCGUCUCGUUUCCAAUCAGUGAAUGCAGGCGCGCUCUGAGCACAGAUGCUGGGACCCGAAAGAUGGUGAACUAUGCCUGGUCAGGUUUAAGUCAGGGGAAACCCUGAUGGAGGACCGUAGCGAUUCUGACGUGCAAAUCGAUCGUCGGAACUGGGUAUAGGGGCGAAAGACUAAUCGAACCAUCUAG
RNAcentral lists this ribosomal RNA (798 nucleotides) under Euliphyra hewitsoni. Its description in RNAcentral is "eukaryotic LSU rRNA". It matches the Rfam family "Eukaryotic large subunit ribosomal RNA", at positions 584 to 947 of the family's 3401-position model. The record is from RNAcentral. Lineage: Eukaryota; Metazoa; Arthropoda; Insecta; Lepidoptera; Lycaenidae.